CCAACAGGGAUUGCCUCAGUAACGGCGAGUGAAGCGGCAAAAGCUCAAAUUUGAAAUCUAGCACCUUCGGUGUUCGAGUUGUAAUUUGAAGAUGGUAACCUUGGGUUUGGCUCUUGUCUAGUUCCUUGGAACAGGACGUCAUAGAGGGUGAGAAUCCCGUCUGAUGAGAUGCCCAUUCCAUGUAAGGUGCUAUCGAAGAGUCGAGUUGUUUGGGAAUGCAGCUCUAAGUGGGUGGUAAAUUCCAUCUAAAGCUAAAUAUUGGCGAGAGACCGAUAGCGAACAAGUACAGUGAUGGAAAGAUGAAAAGAACUUUGAAAAGAGAGUGAAAAAGUACGUGAAAUUGUUGAAAGGGAAGGGCAUUAGAUCAGACUUGGUGUUUUACGAUUAUCUUCUCUUCUUGAGUUGUGCACUCGUAUUUCACUGGGCCAGCAUCGAUUCGGAUGGCAAGAUAAUGGCAGUUGAAUGUGGCUUCACUUCGGUGGAGUGUUAUAGCUUCUGCUGAUAUUGCCUGUCUGGAUCGAGGGCUGCGUCUUUUGACUAGGAUGCUGGCGUAAUGAUCUAAUGCCGCCCGUCUUGAAACACGGACCUCCUGUGUGAUGGAACCCCCUUAACA
RNAcentral lists this ribosomal RNA (613 nucleotides) under Hansenula anomala. RNAcentral's name for it is "eukaryotic LSU rRNA". It matches the Rfam family "Eukaryotic large subunit ribosomal RNA", at positions 65 to 664 of the family's 3401-position model. Lineage: Eukaryota; Fungi; Ascomycota; Saccharomycetes; Phaffomycetales; Wickerhamomycetaceae. The record is from RNAcentral.